Molecule: ribosomal RNA, 253 nt
Filed under: uncultured bacterium
Lineage: Bacteria
Description: partial 16S ribosomal RNA
Rfam family: Bacterial small subunit ribosomal RNA
Source: RNAcentral
UACGAAUGGGGCAAGCGUUGUUCGGAAUCACUGGGCUUAAAGCGUGCGCAGGCGGUCAUGCAAGUCAGAAGUGAAAUCCCGGGGCUCAACCCCGGAAUUGCUUUUGAAACUGCAUGACUAGAAUAUGGGAGAGGUUAGCAGAAUUCCGAGUGUAGAGGUGAAAUUCGCAGAUAUUCGGAGGAAUACCAGUGGCGAAGGCGGCUAACUGGACCAUUAUUGACGCUCAGGCACGAAAGCGUGGGGAGCAAACAGG